UACGUAGGGUGCAAGCGUUACUCGGAAUCACUGGGCGUAAAGCGCACGUAGGCGGACUUACAGGUCAAUUGUGAAAUACCUGGGCUCAACCCAGGAACUGCAGUUGAAACCGUUUGUCUUGAAUACCUGAGAGGGUGGGGGAAUACCUGGUGGAGAAGUGAAAUUCGUAGAGAUCAGGUGGAACACCGGAGGCGAAGGCGCCUGCCUGGCAGUGUAUUGACGCUGAGGUGCGAAAGUGCGGGGAGCAAGCAGG
RNAcentral lists this ribosomal RNA (253 nucleotides) under uncultured bacterium. RNAcentral's name for it is "partial 16S ribosomal RNA". It matches the Rfam family "Bacterial small subunit ribosomal RNA", at positions 524 to 776 of the family's 1533-position model. The record is from RNAcentral.